This 983-nucleotide ribosomal RNA is filed under the name Limnadia lenticularis. RNAcentral's name for it is "eukaryotic LSU rRNA". It matches the Rfam family "Eukaryotic large subunit ribosomal RNA", at positions 66 to 936 of the family's 3401-position model. Lineage: Eukaryota; Metazoa; Arthropoda; Branchiopoda; Diplostraca; Limnadiidae. The record is from RNAcentral.
UAACAAGGAUUCCCCUAGUAGCGGCGAGCGUAGAGGGAAGAGCCCAGCACCGAACCUCGCGCCCUCGGGUGUCGCGGAAUGUGGUGUUCAGGAGGACCGUGCGCGUCUGUCCGGUAUCGUCCAAGUCUCCAUGAAUGGGGCCAGCAACCCAGAGAGGGUGUCAGGCCCGUGGGACGAGCCGCGACCGUGUAUUGGGUCUCUCCUUAGAGUCGGGUUGCUUGAGAGUGCAGCCCUAAGCGGGAGGUAAACUCCUUCUAAGGCUAAAUACGGCCACGAGACCGAUAGCAAACAAGUACCGCGAGGAAAGUUGAAAAGAACUUUGAAGAGAGAGUUCAAGAGUGCGUGAAACCGUUCAGGGGGUUAAACGGGUGGGCCCUCGAAGGUCGAACGGUCCCCACUCCCGUCACCUGUAGUGCCGGCCCGUGCUGCUUUUCGAUUCCGCUACGGAACGAGGCUUGGUGCGGUUCGCCGGUCUACGGGGGCCGCUAGCUGGGGACCCAGUAGGACUCCGCAACCGGCUGGGAGGCCGUCAGAAGGGUUCUGUGAGGAAGCCCCCUCGUUGGGGUGGAUUCCGGGAUUCCGGGCGGUCCUCUCGGCCGUGAACCAAAAUUUCUCUCCUCACGGGGAGAAUGAGCGGAGAGUAGAGUCGGGUCCCACCCGACCCGUCUUGAAACACGGACCAAGGAGUCUAACAUGUGCGCGAGUCGUCGGGUACUACUAAACCCGAAGGCGUAAUGAAAGUGAAAGGCGCCCUUGUUGGCGGCCGAGGGGAGAUCCCGUUCUGCUCCGGUAGCUCGGGCGCAUCCCCGGGCGUCGAAGCCGCGUUGCCGGCUAGACGAACCAAGAGCGUACACGUUGGGACCCGAAAGAUGGUGACCUAUGCCUGGCCAGGACGAAGCCAGGGGAAACCCUGGUGGAGGUCCGCAGCGAUUCUGACGUGCAAAUCGAUCGUCUGAGUUGGGUAUAGGGGCGAAAGACUAAUC